GAUGAACGCUGGCGGCGUGCCUAAUACAUGCAAGUCGAGCGAACAGACGAGGAGCUUGCUCCUCUGACGUUAGCGGCGGACGGGUGAGUAACACGUGGAUAACCUACCUUUAAGACUGGGAUAACUUCGGGAAACCGGAGCUAAUACCGGAUAAUAUAUUGAACCGCAUGGUUCAAUAGUGAAAGACGGUUUUGCUGUCACUUAUAGAUGGAUCCGCGCCGCAUUAGCUAGUUGGUAAGGUAACGGCUUACCAAGGCAACGAUGCGUAGCCGACCUGAGAGGGUGAUCGGCCACACUGGAACUGAGACACGGUCCAGACUCAUACGGAAGGCAGCAGUAGGGAAUCUACCGCAAUGGGCGAAAGCCUGACGGAGCAACGCCGCGUGAGUGAUGAAGAUCUUCGGAUCGUAAAACUCUGUUAUUAGGGAAGAACAAAUGUGUAAGUAACUAUGCACGACUUGACGGUACCUAAUCAGAAAGCCACGGCUAACUACGUG
Molecule: ribosomal RNA, 497 nt
Filed under: uncultured bacterium
Lineage: Bacteria
Description: partial 16S ribosomal RNA
Rfam family: Bacterial small subunit ribosomal RNA
Source: RNAcentral